UACGUAGGUCGCAAGCGUGGUCCGGAUUUACUGGGCGUAAAGAGCGCGCAGGCGGCUGGUCAAGUCCGAUGUGAAAUCUCCCGGCUCAACUGGGAAACUGCAUCGGAAACUGAUCGGCUUGAAGGUGGGAGAGGGUAGUGGAAUUCCCGGUGUAGUGGUGAAAUGCGUAGAUAUCGGGAGGAACACCAGUGGCGAAGGCGACUUCCUGGCCUGUUCUUGACGCUGAGGCGCGAAAGCUAGGGUAGCAAACGGG
This 253-nucleotide ribosomal RNA is filed under the name uncultured bacterium. RNAcentral's name for it is "partial 16S ribosomal RNA". It matches the Rfam family "Bacterial small subunit ribosomal RNA", at positions 524 to 776 of the family's 1533-position model. The record is from RNAcentral.